GCGGGUGUAACUCAAUGGCAGAGUUCCAGCCUUCCAAGCUGGAUACGUGGGUUCGAUUCCCAUCACCCGCUCCA
RNAcentral lists this transfer RNA (74 nucleotides) under Clostridia bacterium. RNAcentral's name for it is "tRNA-Gly". It matches the Rfam family "tRNA". From Rfam's summary of the family: Transfer RNA (tRNA) molecules are approximately 80 nucleotides in length. RNAcentral also lists the same sequence under 1 other name. The record is from RNAcentral. Lineage: Bacteria; Bacillati; Bacillota; Clostridia.